GGCCUAAUGGUCUAGUAGCAUGAUACCUCCUUCGGGAUUUUCCGAAUUCCACAUGAGUAAUGAUCAUGUUCGCUUGGAGGUGGUCCUGGGUUCAAUUCCCAGUUAGGCCC
Molecule: non-coding RNA, 110 nt
Organism: Lyophyllum atratum
Lineage: Eukaryota; Fungi; Basidiomycota; Agaricomycetes; Agaricales; Lyophyllaceae
Source: the annotation of a GenBank genome assembly